CUGAUGGCUUAUAUCCGACAACAGCAUAGUAGUGCUUAGUGCUAAAAACACAUGUAUAACUUAGAUUUGUAUAAUGCGACAAUGUUCACCAUAGUUACAACAUCCUUUGCUACCAUUUCUAGUUUGAAAAGCGGUCCCUCCCUGUCCGCUACGUAGCCAAGAUGGUGACCAUUGAGGGCAAGAGGUGUCCAUAGUUCCACACUCAACUUUUUGACUUUUUGACUGAGUGCACCAUCCAGUUACUCACAGUGCACUGCAUUUUUCCAUACUUCUCAGUGUGAAUGCACUUAUGCACUCAAAAUGUUAAGUCGGCCGACAUCAGACCAAUUCCUGGCUGGAGUUGAUGCUCCCGGUCUAGCGCCGGUGCUGUGCCAGUGAGAAGCAUCAGGGAAGGUUGGUUUGGGAGCCUCUGCAACUAAUUCAAGGCAGCAGACAAAGUUAGACCAAAUCCUGGCUGGAGCUGAUGCUUUUGGUCUAGCACUGGUGCUGUGCCAGUAAGAAGCAUCAGGGAAGGCUGGUUUGGGAGCCUCUGCAGGUAAUCAAGGCCGUGUUAGGACAUAUCCAGGGGAGCAUAUCAGCCAAGUCUGCGGCGGGAUUCUCCACAUCUGUUGCAAUCCUGUGCAUGAUAGUCUGCAUCUGUCUGUUAGCAUUCAGUAGCUCUGUACUUUAUACAGUAGCUGCUACAGAGUCAAUGAAUUGCUUGCCCUCACAUCAAUCAGUCGCUCACACUCCAUACAGUUUACUGAUUUUGCUGGGUUUGUAGAUGUGGCGAAUAGGAAAUUGCCACUGAUUUAAAUAUGUUAUAUUUUUAUAUGUAUAAAACUUUAUUUUGAAUGUAUAUUAGGUUGCAUUCUUCAGUUGGCAGUUAACGUUAAAAGAGUAAAGCCGCUGAAGAUCAGCCGACUCACACAGUGUUAAUUUGUUCUUUCAGGUGGGUAAAUGUCAUGAAAGCGUGUAUUUAGUUUUUCUAUUUAAUGUACUGUUUUUAUUAUUUUAUUGCUGUUUUUAUUGUUAUUGUACCGCUUUAUGUAUUGUAGCGUGUCUGUAGGUUAUUAGUGUAUAUGCACUAGCUAGGUGGAGCAAGUUGGCACUAGCUUGCCAGUUACGAUGAUAGUUAUCUUUAAAUUAAACAGAUGUAAGGUUUGCCUAAUUGCACUGAUAUGUAUGUAUGUGUAAGAUUUAAUGUUGUAGUGUUUUGUAUUUUCUUUGUUUUGUUCGUUUUCCUCUAGCAGUUAAUAACGUUUAUUUUCAGUAUGUUUAUAACAGUUAGUAACGUUUAUUUUCAGUAUUUAAUGACGUUUAUUUUCAGUUCCAGUUUAUAACGGUUCAUAACGUUUAUUUUCAGUUGUUUACAACAGUUAUAGUCAGUUAGAGCCAGAGCCCGAACAGCUGAUUAGCAGCGCUGUUGUUUACCGUUGUCAAGGCAACCAGGCAACUCACGUUGUAAUACGUCACGCGUAAACAGAGAGGAUGAAUGAGUGAGAUUAUAUUGUAAUGUAAAUGUUGCGUGAUUGAAGUUAUGAGGGAAUGAGAUAAUUAUUUUAUACCUGAAAUGAUAAAAAUUGUAAAUAAAUGUUGAUAAUAGAUUGAUAUAGUACUUUCAAUGCUCUGAUAUAGAAAUGCUAGUUUAUAAAUGAUUACUGUAUUUUGAAAUAUUUAAUUUUUAUAUUAUAUUGUUAUUGUUUUGCAUUGUUGAUGUAUUGUUCCAAGUAAUUUAAGUUGGUAGUUAAUGUUAAAAGAGUAAAGCCACUGAAGAUUAGCCGACUCACACGGUGUUAAUUUGUUCUUUCAGAAUAAAUUAUUUUUCUAAAA
Molecule: long non-coding RNA, 1812 nt
Organism: Thunnus maccoyii (southern bluefin tuna)
Lineage: Eukaryota; Metazoa; Chordata; Actinopteri; Scombriformes; Scombridae
Exons: 2
Source: RefSeq, a predicted model, not a curated record